CCUACGGGAGGCAGCAGUGAGGAAUAUUGGUCAAUGGGCGGAAGCCUGAACCAGCCAAGUCGCGUGAGGGAUUAAGGCCCUGCGGGUCGUAAACCUCUUUUGCCGGGGAGCAGUGGUCCGGACGCGUCCGGCCCGGGAGAGUACCCGGAGAAAAAGCCUCGGCUCACUCCGUGCCAGCAGCCGCGGUAAUACGGAGGAUCCAAGCGUUAUCCGGAUUUAUUGGGUUUAAAGGGUGCGUAGGCGGAUUGAUAAGUUAGAGGUGAAAUGUUCGAGCUUAACUCGGGAACUGCCUCUAAUACUGUAGAUCUAGAGAGUAGAUGCGGUAGGCGGAAUGUAUGGUGUAGCGGUGAAAUGCUUAGAGAUCAUACAGAACACCGAUUGCGAAGGCAGCUUACCAAGCUAUAUCUGACGUUGAGGCACGAAAGCGUGGGGAGCAAACAGGAUUAGAUACCCGAGUAGUC
This 461-nucleotide ribosomal RNA is filed under the name uncultured bacterium. Its description in RNAcentral is "partial 16S ribosomal RNA". It matches the Rfam family "Bacterial small subunit ribosomal RNA", at positions 338 to 795 of the family's 1533-position model. The record is from RNAcentral.